UUUGCCGAUUGGAGUGUUUUU
This 21-nucleotide non-coding RNA is filed under the name Caenorhabditis elegans. The record is from RNAcentral. Lineage: Eukaryota; Metazoa; Nematoda; Chromadorea; Rhabditida; Rhabditidae.